UGGAAUGAGGAUGAGGCAUUAGUAACUCCAUAUCCAACACUUGAUUUGAGGGAUUUGUUUUCAAUUGAUUGCAUCGUUUUGCUUCUGAAUCUGU
This is a small nucleolar RNA of Macadamia integrifolia, 94 nucleotides long. RefSeq annotates it as small nucleolar RNA snoR31. The record is from RefSeq and is a predicted model, not a curated record. The transcript has a single exon. NCBI's taxonomy places the organism in Eukaryota, Viridiplantae, Streptophyta, Magnoliopsida, Proteales, Proteaceae.